GAUGAACGCUAGCGGGAGGCUUAACACAUGCAAGUCGAGGGGCAGCAUAGGGUAGCAAUACUCUGAUGGCGACCGGCAAACGGGUGAGUAACGCGUAUGCAACCUACCCUGUACAGGGGGAUAACCCGGAGAAAUUCGGACUAAUAUCCCGUAAUAAUAUCCGGAGGCAUCUUUGGAUAUUUAAAGUUCCGACGGUACGGGAUGGGCAUGCGUAACAUUAGCUGGUUGGUAAGGUAACGGCUUACCAAGGCUACGAUGGGUAGGGGUUCUGAGAGGAAAGCCCCCCAACUGGUACUGAGACACGGACCAGACUCCUACGGGAGGCAGCAGUAAGGAAUAUUGGGCAAUGGUCGAAAGCUGACCCAGCCAUGCCGCGUGCAGGAUGAAGGCCCUAUGGGUUGUAAACUGCUUUUAGCCGGGAAUAAACACCCGUUUUAUAACGGGCCCGAAGGUACCGGCUGAAUAAGCAUCGGCUAACUCCGUGCCAGCAGCCGACGGUAAAAGUGUGUGUA
This 512-nucleotide ribosomal RNA is filed under the name uncultured bacterium. RNAcentral describes it as "bacterial SSU rRNA". It matches the Rfam family "Bacterial small subunit ribosomal RNA", at positions 28 to 536 of the family's 1533-position model. The record is from RNAcentral.